RNAcentral lists this transfer RNA (76 nucleotides) under Lentisphaerota bacterium. RNAcentral's name for it is "Lentisphaerae bacterium tRNA-Gly". It matches the Rfam family "tRNA". From Rfam's summary of the family: Transfer RNA (tRNA) molecules are approximately 80 nucleotides in length. Their secondary structure includes four short double-helical elements and three loops (D, anti-codon, and T loops). Lineage: Bacteria; Pseudomonadati; Lentisphaerota. RNAcentral also lists the same sequence under 2 other names. The record is from RNAcentral.
GCGAGUGUAGCUCAGUUGGUAGAGCAUCACGUUGCCAACGUGAUUGUCGCCGGUUCGAAUCCGGUCACUCGCUCCA